AGGGGAUCUUCGGACCUUGCGCUAAUAGAUGAGCCUAAGUCGGAUUAGCUAGUUGGUGGGGUAAAGGCCUACCAAGGCGACGAUCUGUAGCGGGUCUGAGAGGAUGAUCCGCCACACUGGGACUGAGACACGGCCCAGACUCCUACGGGAGGCAGCAGUGGGGAAUAUUGGACAAUGGGGGGAACCCUGAUCCAGCCAUGCCGCGUGUGUGAAGAAGGCCUUAUGGUUGUAAAGCACUUUAAGCGAGGAGGAGGUUACUGAGACUAAUACUCUUGGAUAGUGGACGUUACUCGCAGAAUAAGCACCGGCUAACUCUGUGCCUGCAGCCGCGGUAAUACAGAGGGUGCGAGCGUUAAUCGGAUUUACUGGGCGUAAAGCGUGCGUAGGCGGCUUCUUAAGUCGGAUGUGAAAUCCCCGAGCUUAACUUGGGAAUUGCAUUCGAUACUGGGAAGCUAGAGUAUGGGAGAGGAUGGUAGAAUUCCAGGUGUAGCGGUGAAAUGCGUAGAGAUCUGGAGGAAUACCGAUGGCGAAGGCAGCCAUCUGGCCUAAUACUGACGCUGAGGUACGAAAGCAUGGGGAGCAAACAGGAUUAGAUACCCUGGUAGUCCAUGCCGUAAACGAUGUCUACUAGC
Molecule: ribosomal RNA, 632 nt
Filed under: uncultured Acinetobacter sp.
Lineage: Bacteria; Pseudomonadati; Pseudomonadota; Gammaproteobacteria; Moraxellales; Moraxellaceae
Description: bacterial SSU rRNA
Rfam family: Bacterial small subunit ribosomal RNA
Source: RNAcentral